RNA transcript from Erigeron canadensis, 4494 nucleotides. It is a transcript of the gene named cyclin-dependent kinase G-2-like, with no coding region annotated. The record is from RefSeq and is a predicted model, not a curated record. The transcript has 9 exons. NCBI's taxonomy places the organism in Eukaryota, Viridiplantae, Streptophyta, Magnoliopsida, Asterales, Asteraceae.
CCAUUCGCAUAUUUUUCUUUUACGCUCUCAAAUCUCCCACAAACAACCGUGUUCCGCCGCCACGUGUACCGCCGGUAAGUUUUUCUCGGAUGAAUUACUACUGUACCGGUAGAACCUUCUAGGUUUUCCUUUCCUAUAUAUAUCAUAUAUAAUAUAUAAUUGUUAUUAUAUUAUAUAUAUUAUAUAUAUAUUCGAUUCCAUUUCUAGGGUUUCAUUAUAGGAAAUUGAUAACGCAAUUGAUUCAAUUAGUAAUUGAAUCGUAUAUUGAGUUGUUGAAUCUAGGUGUUAUUGAUUUCCGAUCUGUGCUUGUUGACCUAGACUUAGGUUUAAUUGAAAAGGAAUAUUUUUUUGCUAGGGUUAGGGUUUAUUGAGGUGAUUUAGGUAUAGUUUGAUUGUUAUAUACAUAAAUAUAUAUAUGAAUAAGUAUAUGGCGGCAGGAAGACAUGGAGGAUACCGUGAUAAUGAAUUUAGAGAGGGCGAUAAUGAUGUAAAAGGAGAGUAUGAUCGGUUACGGAAUGGUAGUAAUUAUGAGAGGGGUAAGAAUCGGGUUAGGGAUAGUAGAGGUGGAGGCAGGGGUAGGCAGAAGGAUGUUAAAGAAAGAGAAAUGGUGAACGGUGGGGGUCGGGGUUAUCGGUCGGUGUCUGGUUUGGGAAGGAAUGGGGAUGGUGGAGGUUUGAGACGUGGUGAUGAUCAGCUUAGGUUUGCGGAUCGAGAGCCUGGUGAGUUGUCUAGCGAGAGUGGGUCGGAUGAAGGUGUUGAGUUGGAAGUAAAUGGUAAGAAUGACACAGCUUAUAAAAUGGACAGCAGUUCUGAGUCGUCUUUGUUUAGCAAAAAGAGGAAGUUUUCACCUAUUGUUUGGGAUAGAGAUGAUAAGGAAGGUGGUAAUUUGACGAUGCCUAGAUCUUCACCUGCUCUACCUCCUCCACCUCCAUUGCCUAAAUCUUACCGCGGAUUACCUAAUGUUGUUCCUGCAGUGGCUGUACAGAAUUUGCUGGUAGAGAGUAACGAGUUUCAGAGUGCACAUCAGUCUCCAGGUAAUAGUCCAAUUGAUAUUUGGAAGCAUGAUUCUUCUGGAUUUGAACCCCAUGUUAGUCUGUCUUCUUCACCUAUUGAAGAAGAGCUUCUAGGUUUAUCUUCUUCUCCUGUCCAGGGAGAACAUGCAGGACAACCAGAAGAUGAGGAUUACGUGCCUGCACGGACAAUAAGAUCCUCUCGGUGGGCAGAUGCAAAUUCUCCAGCCGAUGAAGGUGAAAUUUCUGAUGCAUCUGGUGAUAAUAGGGUUCAGCAGAGGAAUGAAUCUUUACGUGGAUCUGUUGAAGUUAGAUGGCGAAAGCAGUCAUCAAGUCCAGAGGCAGGGGAUCAUCAUAGAGAAGUCUCUGAAGUAAAUAGAGGACGAUCUUCCGAGUCCGAUGAAGAUGGCUAUCGUGUUAGGUCUUCCAGUAUGAGUGAUUUUCCUGACAAUGAUUUGGGAAGGAAGGACCACAUGGAGAUAGACGACGAGAACAAAAAAGAUGGUACUAGUCUGAGCCAAUCAGAAUCUGACUCAGAGAAUAAAGACGACUCUCCAGGCACUCCAGAGCCUGCCCCCACUUCUCAAAGAAGUGUGAAUAUGCUUCACGGUUGCAGAAGUGUUGAUGAGUUUGAGAGGUUGAACAAGAUAGAUGAAGGCACUUAUGGUGUUGUUUACAGGGCCAAAGAUAAAAAAACAGGGGAAGUAGUUGCUUUAAAAAAGGUCAAGAUGGAGAAAGAAAGAGAAGGGUUUCCUUUGACUGCUCUGAGGGAAAUUAAUAUUCUUCUCUCGUUUCAUCAUUCGUCAAUUGUGGAUGUGAAGGAAGUGGUUGUUGGGAGCAAUCUUGACAGCAUUUUUAUGGUAAUGGAAUACAUGGAACAUGAUCUUAAGGCAUUGAUGGAGACAAUGAAACACCCUUUUAGUCAAAGUGAAGUUAAAUGCCUCAUGCUCCAGCUAUUCGAGGGAACAAAAUACCUCCAUGACAAUUGGGUUCUUCACCGGGAUCUAAAGACUUCAAAUUUACUAUUAAAUAAUCGAGGUGAGUUAAAGAUCUGUGAUUUUGGAUUAGCUCGUCAAUAUGGGAGCCCUCUAAAACCAUACACUCAUUUGGUGGUGACUCUUUGGUACAGGGCGCCAGAACUUCUGCUAGGGACAAAAUUAUAUUCUACUGCGAUUGACAUGUGGUCAUUGGGUUGUAUCAUGGCUGAACUUUUAUCAAAGCAACCAUUAUUUAAUGGGAAAACGGAGGUUGACCAGCUUGACAAGAUAUUCAAAACACUUGGCACACCGAAUGAAGCUAUAUGGCCUGGGUACUCCAAACUUCCUGGAGUCAAGGUGAACUUCGUCAAGCAUCAGUAUAAUUUGUUGCGGAGAAAAUUCCCAGCAACAUCUUUCACCGGAUCACCUGUUUUAUCUGAUGCUGGGUUUGAUCUGCUGAAUAAACUUCUAACUUAUGACCCUGAGAAGCGCAUAACAGCUGAAGCAGCUCUUAACCAUGAGUGGUUUCGUGAAGUUCCUCUUCCCAAGUCUAAAGAUUUUAUGCCCACUUUUCCUGCUCAGCAUGCUCAGGACAGGCGCACACGGAGGGUAAUGAAAAGUCCAGAUCCUUUAGAGGAGCAACGUCUGAAGGAGUUGCGGCAAGCUGAAUAUGGGACAGGCGGUUUAUUUGGUUAGGGUAAAGGGUGUGAUGAAGUCUUGACUCUUGAUAUUAAAAGUCUUGUUUUUUAUGAUGUACUUACUGAUUGACGUUGUUGAGGUGAGAGUCUGUACUGCAUGGAAUCGUCAACAUCAGUUGGAAAAGAUCAUCCAUGCUGUUUUUUAGCAGGCACCGGUCAUCAUCUGGGUUGGGAGUUGAUUUGCUUCCCCUUUCAACUCUAUUCAUAGCAGAGGUGGUUGGUGUAGCAUGGAGGUGGCAUUCUUAGCUUUUCAAUGACUGGACAAUUUUCAAGAAAUUGUGAAAUUUCAAGUACGAAAGCCAGCAGGUUGUGGAGGGUCACCCUGUGCAGCUUGGAACUUAAAUUUUUUUCAUGUAUUUUCCCAUUCUUCAGGUCAAACAGGUAAAAUCAAAACGAUUUGCUCAAUGGAAAUGGCUCAAUUGCCUACAUAGUGUAUUCUUAAUGCACAGAAAAUUCUAAUUUCUAAUCAAAAAUCAGGUUAUCCUUGGAAAAUCUAACUAUAUUAUCAGUAAUGUAUUAUAGUAUUUGUCACCUUAAUCAUUUGUAAAUUUCUUUAUUGGAAUAAAUUGUGUCUCUAGUCUAGUCAAUUUUAGCUUAUGUCAAACAAGCUUCAUUUUUGACAUUUUACCCAACCCACUCUUUUUGCCACCUCAUUUGGGUUUAAUUAGGGGAAGAUCAAUGAGGUGGUAAACACAAAGCCCCCCAUAGUAACAUGCAAAAACUGUAAGUUUGUAUAUAAGCUUAUGAGCUGUGCUUUGUGCUAGUUGGUCUGAAUCGGUAGUAACAAAGGAGUUUAAUUUGUAAUGAAAAAUGGGUAGUUUCAGCACACUUAACAAGGUUGACAAUGGUUAUAGUUUAUCACCAACACAGGUCAAUUGGGUUGGAAGUUGUCCAAUUUGUACUUUAAGCCUCCUAAAUCUUUUUAUAUCGAUGGUUCAAUUAGUAUUGCAGUGAUAUAAUUUAUAGUCUCAUACGUGACACAUUAAUUGUUAAUAAAAGUUGGACAAGAAUGUUGGCGGGUUGAUUUAACAAGUGAUUUUGACAUGUAUUUGAUAUCAGGGUAUCUGCCUAUUUGGUUAAUAACAUGCAUCUUGUUUUUCAUUGUGGUAUAUAUGUUACUGAUAUCACUUGAUGUUAUUAAUAUGCUGUUUUUGGGUGUUGGUUUGCGUGUUCUAGACCAAAAAUUUCCAUAGAUGGAUUUACUAUUCAUCAUAAAAUAUAGAAUUAGACUGUUUGGUGUAUCACUAAUCUGACAGAUAAAAGACAAUUAUGCUGUUGGAUAUUAAUAAUUUUAGGAAUGCAUAAUUAGACAGAACUUCAUGACGUACUCUUUAACACAACACCGCUUGGGCAAUUCUAGAGGGUUUAGGAGCUGGGCCUGAUGCAUGUUACUUAACCGGCUAACCCUGAAGAAGCACGGCCUUUAACCCUGGUAAUGAAUCGGAGCUUAUGAUCAUAGUUAACUGCACCAUUGGUUGAGCUUGUCUAUGAAGACCACUUAUCAUUUUCAUGAGUCUUGAAUCAAGCCACCAUUAAUUCUUCGUUUUGAUAUCAUGUUCGCCCUUUUGAGUCUCAUCAUCACGCCCCUCUUUUCAAAAUUGAAAAAUAUAUCACCCGCUGUGUAUUUGCAAGUGGUUUUUGGUGUUUAAAUCUCUUUGUAAUUGUGAUAACAUUGAAUGCACACAAUCGUUUGAGUUGGGGAGUGUAAGUUUAGAUGCAUAACCUUAUUAUUUUCUUUGUUAUACAUGUAUAAAGAAAUUCAUUAAAUAUUUGUAUAUAUAUAUACUAGUCCAAUACCCGUACGAUGUA